RNA transcript from Propithecus coquereli (Coquerel's sifaka), 1238 nucleotides. It is a transcript of the gene named RWD domain containing 3, with no coding region annotated. The record is from RefSeq and is a predicted model, not a curated record. Lineage: Eukaryota; Metazoa; Chordata; Mammalia; Primates; Indriidae. The transcript is spliced from 4 exons.
GGCGGCGGCGGCGGAAGGGGAAGCGCUGAAGCGGCGGGGCCGAGCAGCCAUGGAGGAGCCGGUGCGGGAGGAGCUCUCGGCCCUGGCCGCGAUUUUCUGCGGGCCCCACGAGUGGGAGGUGCUGAGCCGCUCAGAGACAGAUGGGACUGUGUUCAGAAUUCACACAAAAGCCGAAGGACUUACGGAUGUGGAUAUACCCUUGAAAUUGGUGUUCCAUUUGCCGGUCAAUUACCCUUUGUGUCUUCCUGGCAUCUCCGUUAACUCUGAAUACCUGACCAGGGCCCAGUGUGUGGCUGUGAAAGAGAAGUUGCUUGAGCAAGCAGAGAACCUUUUGUCAGAGCCUAUGGUCCAUGAGCUGGUUCUCUGGAUUCAGCAGAAUCUCAGGUAUAUCCUUAACCAGCCAGAAACUGGAAGUGGCAGUGAAAAGUGUACUUUUCCAACAAGCACGACUGUGGAUGAUGGAUUGUGGAUAACUCUUUUGCAUUUAGAUCACAUGAGAGCAAAGACUAAAUAUGUCAAAACCGUGGAGAAGUGGGCUUCAGAUUUAAGGCUGACAGGAAGACUAAUGUUCAUGGGGAAAAUAAUACUGAUUUUACUACAAGGAGACAAAAGCAACAUCAAGGUGCCAAAAAGUUAAAUGAGUACCUGAUUCUUCAGAAAACCUCCAAAGUAGAUGUGGACUCAAGUGGAAAGAAAUGCAAAGAAAAAAUGAUUAGUGUACUCUUUGAAACAAAAGUACAGACGGAACACAAAAGGUUUUUGGCAUUUGAAGUCAAAGAGUAUUCAUCGUUGGAUGAAUUACAAAAGGAAUUUGAAACCGCAGGACUUAAGAAGCUUUUCUCUGAAUUUGUACUUGGGCUGGUAAAAUGAAAUGGAAGAGAGGAAUCUUUUAGUAAAAUAGCAGUGUGUUUUGUUGUUUUUACACUGGAUUUUGGGAGUGGCUAAUUGAAAUAGUCACGAAGGAGCAAUUUUAAAGUUUCUCUGAAGCAAAAUGAUAGACAUCAUCUUAACUUUAGGAACAAAGCUAGUUCUGGUUUAUAAAGUAGUAAACAUUAAAAAACCUCAUGUAUUCUAAUGUUUGCCAGGAAAGACUAGGUUCAAUAGUUGAAACAUUAUUUGAAAGAUAAAUUUUAAAAAGGUGAUGGUAAAUUGGCCCUUGUUUUUAUAUAGAAAAUCUGUUUGAAAUUAUGCGAUUUUCUGGCUCAUUUUCUUGUAAAUAAAUGAAUUUUUAAAAAAGA